UUGUAAACCUCUUUUCUCAAGGAGGAAGAUCUGACGUUACUUGAGGAAUAAGCAUCGGCUAACCCUGUGCCAGCAGCCGCGGUAAUACAGGGGAUGCAAGUGUUAUCCGGAAUUAUUGGGCGUAAAGCGUCUGCAGGUUGAUAUUUAAGUCUUUUGUUAAACCUUCGGGCUCAACCCGGAAUCUGCAAAGGAAACUAUAUAUCUUGAGUAUGGUAGGGGUAAAGGGAAUUUCCAGUGGAGCGGUGAAAUGCGUAGAUAUUGGAAAGAACACCAACAGCGAAGGCACUUUACUGGGCCAGUACUGACACUCAGAGACGAAAGCUAGGGGAGCAAACAGGAUUAGAUACCCUGGUAGUCCUAGCUGUAAACGAUGGAUACUAGA
This 382-nucleotide ribosomal RNA is filed under the name uncultured bacterium. RNAcentral's name for it is "bacterial SSU rRNA". It matches the Rfam family "Bacterial small subunit ribosomal RNA", at positions 423 to 820 of the family's 1533-position model. The record is from RNAcentral.